This 500-nucleotide ribosomal RNA is filed under the name uncultured bacterium. Its description in RNAcentral is "partial 16S ribosomal RNA". It matches the Rfam family "Bacterial small subunit ribosomal RNA", at positions 28 to 507 of the family's 1533-position model. The record is from RNAcentral.
GACGAACGCUGGCGGCGUGCUUAACACAUGCAAGUCGAACGGGCCUGUCUUCUUUUUUGGGGGGUGGGUUGAGUGGCGAACGGGUGAGUAUCACGUGAGUAACCUGCCCUUCGGUCCUGGAUAACCGCUUGAAAGGGCGGCUAAUACGGGGUGGUCCGGUUGGUCCGCAUGGGCUGGUCGGGAUAGAUUCACUGUUUUUGGUGUUUCGGCGGGGGAUGGGCUCGCGGCCUAUCAGCUUGUUGGUGGGGUGAUGGCCUACCAAGGCGGUGACGGGUAGCCGGCCUGAGAGGGUGGGCGGCCACACGGGGACUGAGAUACGGCCCAGACUCCUGCGGGAGGCAGCAGUGGGGGGUAUUGCACAAUGGGCGGAAGCCUGAUGCAGCGACGUCGCGUGAGGGACGGAGGCCUGCGGGUUGUGAACCUCUGUUUCCGGUGGUGAAGGCCCUGUCCGUGUGGUGGGGUUGACGGUAGCCGGGGAUGAAGCGCCGGCUAACUACGUG